RNAcentral lists this ribosomal RNA (303 nucleotides) under uncultured bacterium. RNAcentral's name for it is "partial 16S ribosomal RNA". It matches the Rfam family "Bacterial small subunit ribosomal RNA", at positions 507 to 808 of the family's 1533-position model. The record is from RNAcentral.
AGCAGUCGCCACGGUAAAACGUAGGUCCCGAGCGUUGUCCGGAUUUAUUGGGCGUAAAGCGAGCGCAGGCGGUUAGAUAAGUCUGAAGUUAAAGGCUGUGGCUUAACCAUAGUACGCUUUGGAAACUGUUUAACUUGAGUGCAAGAGGGGAGAGUGGAAUUCCAUGUGUAGCGGUGAAAUGCGUAGAUAUAUGGAGGAACACCGGUGGCGAAAGCGGCUCUCUGGCUUGUAACUGACGCUGAGGCUCGAAAGCGUGGGGAGCAAACAGGAUUAGAGACCCCCGUAGUCCCUGUCUCUUAUACC